CAAACUUGCUUGUUCACGAGAAUCACGUGGGGAGCGUGUUAAAAUUACAGAUUCCUCGGCUCCACCCGCAGACCUACUGAAUCAGAAUCUCGAAGGGAGGCGCUCCGGAACCUGUAUCUUUAACUAGGGCCCGAGAGGAUUCUUACGAUCAGCACCUCAGCAUCCUUCCAGUCAACGCCUGCCCUUUGUGCCUUGCAACCAGAGGAACUGCAACUAGUGCAUUCAGUGAAGGAAUCUUGCUCCUGCUGCUGCUGCUGAAAAUGACUGAGGUCAUGGAGUGGGACCAGGGAAUGGGAGGUACUCUCAUCCCACCUCCACAGACUAACAGACAUCAAAGAGACCUAAAGAUCUCUGUAUACCUGGGACAGUCUACGACUGAAGACUAAGCAUGGCGACCUGACUGCCUUACUGAUCAACUUCCUGCAGAAGCUCACAGGUCCAGCAUGUUCUAGAAGUGGGGGGCUCUGCCAUCAUUCACUCAACAAAUGAGUAUAUUCAGCUCCAACCCAGUGCCAGGAGUUGUACUAGGAGCUGUGGACACAGCACUGAACCAAACAAACCUGCUCCAGGGCCAGAAUCAAGGCUGGAUUCCCCAGAAGGCAGACUAAGGAAGUGUCUAGGUCACCAGCAGAGAAGAGGCACCAAAAACAAAAGAAUCAAGAAAAAAAUCUCGGAAACAGUUUGACAUUUGAUUUUUUUUAAAGUAGUCCUCAUGGGAAAAGUCAGAAUUUUGUUGUACUUCCUUCCAUUCAUUUCCUGAUUGCAUGUUGCUUUUGCUCUGAAUCACGUGUGGGGGAGUGUCAGCAUAAUCCUUUUGAUGCUUGUGCUUGUAUGGGUCUGGAUUCAGUCCUGGGCAAAUGUCACCAUCUCUGCCUCACAAAGACCCCACUGAAGUCUAGCAGGAGGGACUGACCUAAGGAGAGACCCCUCCUCAUCGCAGUUGUGGCUCCUAGGGUUGAAUACAGCUCUGACCACAAGGUGGCAAAAGAGUAUAUGACACUUCUUUUUAUGUUUGUUUUAUAUGUUUAUAUAAAACUAUUGGUUUAUAUCAAAAUACUCUCUAAAAAUAUGUUUUAACGUUGUGCUCCUUCACACAUUUUUAGGUUGACAUCUAAAAUUUUGUAUCAGAAAUGUCAGCUGAAAAAAUAAUGUGAUUUCUGACAAAUAUCAAUAUUCACAAACAAAACUGUUAUGUCAUGAUUUUACAUAAAACUGGUGAAACCUAAAUCCUUGAGUGAUUUGAGAGCCACCAUCAUCAGUUUUAAAAAUUCAUAACUGAGCUCCUCUUUGAUGGUUGGAAAUUGUACAUUUUCCCUUUUCUCCCUGAGUUCUUAAUUCCAUUCUAUUCUUCUAACAGAAUUUUAUCCCAAUAAUUUAUAUUUUUGCACUUGAAAUGAUUUUGUUGAUUAUCCUAUUUCCCUGCAGCAAAAAUAUGUAUGUAUUUUGCUAUUUAAGUGCCUUUUAAAUUUCCUGUGAUUCUAAAGCUCUAUGUGUUGUUUAAAAUUUCACUCUCAUUUGAGUUAUG
Molecule: long non-coding RNA, 1525 nt
Filed under: Equus asinus (donkey)
Lineage: Eukaryota; Metazoa; Chordata; Mammalia; Perissodactyla; Equidae
Description: lncRNA (ENSEASG00005023602.1)
Source: RNAcentral